CUCGCGGUCAGGAGAGCGCGCUGAAUGAGCCGUUACGAGAAACGGCAGCAGUGGAUGACGCAUAGAGGGCGCUGUUUGCCAAAUGAUGAGCCGCGCCUAUCAGGAAUAAUCAACCAGAGGCAAAGUAGAUGCUUGAAGAGGCCAGGUUUUGAUGUUAUGCAUAUAUAAACCAGGAGGUGGAACUGAUGCCUGAAUGCCGAGACAAAAAUGAUGGGAAAACAGAAGCCGCACGACGAAUAUUUGUUACUCUGCUGGGGUUUGCAUUCAUGGGAGGGGCCACGUAUGCAAAAGGAAGACAUGAAAUCUUAUGGUCUGCCAGUUCAAGUAACUUUACAGAAGCACUGACAUCAGCAUCUGUCACUUUGUCUGCCAUUAUGUAACACCCCCCCGAAAUCCCCUUCCAGCUCCCAGCCACUCUGAUUCCAUGGAUUGUGUCAUUGGCAUUCCGUAUUCUACCGUGUGCAUGGACAGCAGUAUGGUGCCAAUCCCACUGCCCGCUUGAGCACACGCAGGCUGAUUCAGAAUCAUUCUGUGUCUUAAAUGGGUUCUUUUCAUUCCGAGAAUCACAUCGAAGAACUGGAGACAGACACUGGUGUUAAACACUGCGGGAGCUUGCAAUUAAAUGAAUUAUUUAGGCUAUGGACCAUCUCCAUUUUCAAGAAUUAGUGUGCAGUAUCAGUAAACCUUAAAGCACAGAAUUACCAGCCUAUUAGAUCUCUGCUCGCAUCACUACCCCUAACGUCUUUGGCUUAUUAUAAUCUCUGCUUUUUGAGCUUGUAGGUUUGGCGCUGUCCCUUCUUGGCUAGCAGGCAAACACGAGACCCCUUUCCUUGAGGGAAUUGCGUCUGUUGAUCACAUGCUUCUGCCUGUCCCUUCCGUGACCUCUGACCCCUCAGGGAGCGUUUAAAUGAGAGGAGGGUGGCAGACUGGUCAGCCCUGGGGUUUUCUGUUUCUGCGUCUCAUUUUGAUGCUGGUUGAAAGCCAGGAUUCUGGCCCCAGUUGAUUGGCCCCCAGAGUGCCCCCUCCCCUGUCACUCACCGAUUCCAAACAUUUCAUUGGCUAAUGACAAGUUUGGCCCCUCCGUAUGAAUUGUGGCCACCCCUAUGCCCCCAUCUUAAAGAUCUUAGGAUUGCCCCUGCUGUGGCGCUCCCAGCCUGUGGCGAAUGCUCAUGUUCAUGUUCACUGUUCAUAUUCAGGAUCCGUACGCAGGGGUCUCUGGGCGGGCUGCUUAUUAAAAUGACAUGACUGUUGCAGAGCGCCGGCGUUAAGGGAUCAUCACGUUGCCCUGGGGUUUAUUGAGAUAAGCGAUGGGAUCAUCAAAGUGUGAUUGUUCUUGGCUCUGCCAGGUGACUGCCCAGAUUCGUUUGCAACGCGCUUUGUGCCUCAUUUAAAUUUUGAUGCUCACUCCUACGAAAGGACUAACUCAUCUGUGAAUUGCAUGUCCCAGUGGCCUCAUUCCUCUAUAUUCAUUUACAGUAGAACAUACAUUUCAUAUUUUUUGCACAAUGUUAUUGACACAUUUCUAAUAUAAAAUAAUUAACUCAAUGGAUUUCACAUCACUUUAUCAAUUCACUCAAUCAUGUCAUUGUAGCUUUGAGCUAUAGCAGAAGGCACAGUGUUUGCUCCAGAGUUUGCUCUUCUAACCUCAUUCAAGUCACCAGAGAGUAAUCUUCUGCUUAUAUGCUUAAGAAAGGAGCCUGAUCUGAAUUAUACUACAAGACAUCCUGGUGCAUGGAUGGGUGAAAAAAGCUGGUUUUUGUUAAAAGUCAGACUUGUCAUGAGAAAUGGAGUGGGAAUAAAACAGAAUUUAAACAGCAUAUAACUGGAAGGCAAACUAGAAAUGAAUGUUUUUAAAAAGCAGCUCUCCUAAAAGAACUGAACUUGAAUGUUGAACCACAGUUUUUAAGAACUGAUUUUUUAGACUGCAGCAAAGUCCAUCAAUCAAAUUAUAUAACCAUAAAUUCAAUAGGAUUUUGAACCUUUCUUAGCCUAUUCAUUUGUUUGUUGUGAGACUCAGAAAAUAGUCUGUGUUCUUCAAAAUAGUCUUUGAAGGGUUAUAGCAUAAAUAUACAAUGUCUUGGGAAAUUAUAUGGAGAAUCCAGUAUAAUUUAGAAAGAAAAAUCCAAAAAAAUUAUUACAUCAUGUUCAGCAGUACCCACUGACAGUAAUUAUAUGGUUUUAAUAGGGAGAUUAGUGUCACAUCUGUGGACCUUUUCCUGAUCCUUAAGAAAUGCUGGUUUUGCUUUCAUAAUAAUGCUCUUUACCUUGUGCUUUAAGAAUAAAGCAGUGUUGCCAUGUUCUGCAAAACACUGGGCAAGUGGAUGCUGCAGCUGAGAGGAAGAGUUCAGAUUCACUUUCUACUCUUUGUGCCAUGCAUUUUGUUUCUAAGCAUCGCUGAUGUAUUGAUGUCCAAAAGAUUUGAUGUCAUGUGACAUUCAGGCCUUAGCAGAUUUUAACUACGUGAUUUGGCUGAUAGUCCAAGCUCGAGCUAUUCUUUCAAGGUCUCGGCGCCAGCCCAUCGAGUUGUAGCUGCAUGUCUAACAUCAGUUCAACCCCCCCAACAACAAGCCUCCGACCCAGCAUCAUGCAGAAUCUACAAUGAAACGGGGAAAGCAAAGAAUAAACAGCCUUGGUCUCCUGCCUUGAAGCCCAUAACAAGAGGCUCUGUACAGUAUGUAGGGGCUCCAUCUAAAAAAACACUGUGCUGGCCACAAUUAUUUAACGUCUUCAAACUGACAACCAUGAGCAAGUGUUCUGUCAUUGACUGUAAAAUCCAGACCAUGACCAAUGAG
Brienomyrus brachyistius is the source of this 2792-nucleotide long non-coding RNA. RefSeq lists it as uncharacterized. Lineage: Eukaryota; Metazoa; Chordata; Actinopteri; Osteoglossiformes; Mormyridae. The record is from RefSeq and is a predicted model, not a curated record. The transcript is spliced from 3 exons.